Molecule: long non-coding RNA, 1557 nt
Organism: Mustela erminea (ermine)
Lineage: Eukaryota; Metazoa; Chordata; Mammalia; Carnivora; Mustelidae
Exons: 4
Source: RefSeq, a predicted model, not a curated record
UUUUUCUCCUUCUCCCUUGCUCUACAAUCUGGCCUCAGUUUCUGCGCCACCAGCGACCUCUUGGGGGCCCCGCUGACUUCCCUCUUGUAAACAGUGCUCGGGCAGGAAGAAGCACGACUUCUUUAACUGUAUCUGUAUUUUAUAUUUUUUAUUUUUUUUUCAUUUCAGAAACUUGAUUCUCCUUCUGUAUCCUGAGCGGCUACAAAAAGCCGGUAAAAGGUACUUGGGUAUAUAUUCCAGGCUUCACUGAGAUGGUCAAAGAGCAAGUGGAGUGAAUUAAAAUUAAACAUGCCCCAUGGGGCCAGGCUCAGCACCCCGACUCCUGGAAGAGAAAGGGAAGAGGACGCUCUCUUCUUGCUCACCCUGACUCUUCAGCUACUCCACAGAGCUGCUCCUCCACGUAGCAACCAGAGAGGCAAGACUCAAGGAGGUCCUUCCUCUAGCAGAGAUGAAGGGGAAGAGCCCUUACAUACCCCAUUUCCCUUCAUUCCAUGGGAAACCUCUGGGCCUGAAAGAAAACCCCCCAAGGUAGAAAGACCUCAUCCCACACAGAUCUGGCAAUGGAGGUGGGCGAUGCACGAAAGGGCUGCUCUCAUCAGCUACACUUUCAGUAAGAAUCAUUUGUUGCUGUAUAGAGAAGCUGCACCACCCGAGGCUAAAGUGACUUGCCCAAGGACACAGAGCUCCUAGGAAUUGGGUUGGGAGUCACACUCAUCAUAUCUGUCCCACCCUCAAGCCCACUAUCCUAACCACUGCACUGCACUAUCUCCCAGCCAGGAUCCUUUUCCCAUAAUUUGCACAGCGAUUGCAGGAAAAGAUAUAGCUCACUGAGCCCAGGCCACUUUGAGAAACGGACACCUUGAGUUUUGGUGCCCUCAUCUCUGGCUCCUCUCAUUCCAAUAGCAGAGGACCAGUGGCAAGGAAGAAUCAGCAGCCAGGACCUCUAUGAAGACUGUUUUCCUGAAAACCUUUUUAAAGAUGAAAAUAAAAACCGUAAGAAUAAUGAAUAUUACCUAUGGGAGACCUGGUCUGGGAAGGCUCCCUGGAAGAGAAGACACAUGAACUAGAUUGCAGGUGUCCCAGAAUAUAAAAUCCUAGGAAAUAUGUUUAAAUAUGCAGAUUCCCGAGUCAGUUCUGCCCACCCCUACUCUAAGAGUCUGACCCACUAGGGUCAGGAGGCCCUCAGCAAAUUCACAGAGACACUUCAAAACCUGCAGGAAAUCAGCAUUUGUGAAGGAGGAAGCAGAAGAAAGCAAUGAGCAACAAACAGAUAAAAGAACUCCAGAAGAACCAAAGGUACUUAUCUGAAUGUUCUGCAAGACAGUUUGAAAACAGCAGCCAAAACUAGGAGGGGCUGGUUUCACACUAUCAUAGCAGAUGAUGAGCUCUUAAGUCACUGGAGUAGUCUGGACCUCUAAGUUCUCAAAAAUAACUAGCAAAAACUUCCUUCGAGGACCAUACCCCUCAACGAGGUGAAAUUCUUGGCAACCAAAUCACAACUAUUCAGGAGAUGGUUUGAAGAGUCAAAGGAAAAAGGGAAGUCUGUAUAAAGAUAGG